This 301-nucleotide ribosomal RNA is filed under the name uncultured bacterium. Its description in RNAcentral is "partial 16S ribosomal RNA". It matches the Rfam family "Bacterial small subunit ribosomal RNA", at positions 509 to 807 of the family's 1533-position model. The record is from RNAcentral.
CAGCAGCCGCGGGAAUACGGAGGGUGCAAGCGUUAUCCGGAAUCAUUGGGUUUAAAGGGUCCGUAGGCGGUCUUGUAAGUCAGUGGUGAAAGCCCAUCGCUCAACGGUGGAACGGCCAUUGAUACUGCAGGACUUGAAUUAUUGGGAAGUAACUAGAAUAUGUAGUGUAGCGGUGAAAUGCUUAGAGAUUACAUGGAAUACCAAUUGCGAAGGCAGGUUACUACCAAUUGAUUGACGCUGAUGGACGAAAGCGUGGGUAGAGAACAGGAUUAGAUACCCCAGUAGUCCCUGUCUCUUAUAC